AAUGAACGUUGGCGGCGUGGAUUAGGCAUGCGAGUCGUGCGAGAAUCGUAGCAAUACGAGGAAAGCGGCGAAAGGGACAGUAAUACGUAGAAAUCUACCCUUAGACCGGGGGAUAGCGGCGGGAAACUGCCGGUAAUACCCGAUAAUGUCUUUGGACCAAAGGUGUGAUUCCGUCUAGGGAUGAGUCUACGUCCUAUUAGCUAGUUGGUGAGGUAACGGCCCACCAAGGCAACGAUGGGUAGCGGGUGUGAGAGCAUGACCCACGUCAUUGGGACUGAGAACUGCCCAGACACCUACGGGUGGCUGCAGUCGAGAAUCUUCGGCAAUGGACGCAAGUCUGACCGAGCGACGCCGCGUGCGGGAUGAAGGCCUUCGGGUUGUAAACCGCUGUCGUAGGGGAACAAGUGUACGGGGGUUCUCCCCCUGUAUUUGAGUGAUCCUAGGAGGAAGGAGAGGCUAAGCUCGUG
This 467-nucleotide ribosomal RNA is filed under the name uncultured bacterium. RNAcentral describes it as "bacterial SSU rRNA". It matches the Rfam family "Bacterial small subunit ribosomal RNA", at positions 29 to 507 of the family's 1533-position model. The record is from RNAcentral.